This 374-nucleotide ribosomal RNA is filed under the name uncultured organism. RNAcentral describes it as "partial 16S ribosomal RNA". It matches the Rfam family "Bacterial small subunit ribosomal RNA", at positions 527 to 896 of the family's 1533-position model. The record is from RNAcentral.
GUAGGUGGCAAGCGUUGUCCGGAAUUAUUGGGCGUAAAGCGCGCGCAGGCGGGGUCCUUUAAGUCUGAUGUGAAAGCCCACGGGCUCAACCGUGGAGGGUCAUUGGAAACUGAGGGACUUGAGUACAGAAGAGGAAAGCGGAAUUCCACGUGUAGCGGUGAAAUGCGUAGAGAUGUGGAGGAACACCAGUGGCGAAGGCGGCUUUCUGGUCUGUAACUGACGCUGAGGCGCGAAAGCGUGGGGAGCAAACAGGAUUAGAUACCCUGGUAGUCCACGCCGUAAACGAUGAGUGCUAAGUGUUAGGGGGUUUCCGCCCCUUAGUGCUGCAGCUAACGCAUUAAGCACUCCGCCUGGGGAGUACGACCGCAAGGUUG